UCACUUUUUCGUUGCAAAAUGUUUUGUUUUAGUGUGCCUAUACUGAACACAUCCCAGCCAGGGACUCGAUCUUUGGCUAUGCAGGAAUUUAAACAAAGAAAGACAAGUACUGAUUUGUAGAAUGUGUAUUGUGAAAGCAAGUUUGCGCGGCAGGUAUGUCCUCUGAAAGCAGUUUUAUUCCUGAUGGCUGGCAGUGAAUUGAGUCUUUGUGCUGGCAGAUGUUUGGAAUAAAUACGUUAUGCGUGUUAUCUGAUAGCAGUUGGACCCGUCUUGAACGGUUGAAAAACAACUGAAAGACUCUUGUUGAACCUGAACGCGGGUUUUUCCCCCAGAAAAGGACACUAGAAAACGAAGAAAAUAAUAAUAAAGGGUCAAUUGGGGACACCAGGUGGAUGUGCCACAACAAAGAAACUCCACCGCCUUGUACAGUAUGCGGGCUAGUUGUCUGGAAAAUGAUUUGCAGGAGACAAAAGACAGGUUGAAUGAAUGCUGGCUUCAACUCUCAGCUCAAACACCUCAAUGUAACGGGAUUCUUCCGUCGAAGGAGAGGAGGACCAAAAUGCAGCGUGGUUGAAAUUCAUGUUUGUUUUUAAUAAACAAACUAUACAUGAAUAAACUACAACAACAAACGUGUAAACCCAAACCAGUCCCGUGUGGAACAACCACUGACACAGGAGACAAUCACCCACAAAACCCAACACCAAACAGGCUACCUAAAUAUGGUUCCCAAUCAGAGACAAUGACUAACACCUGCCUCUGAUUGAGAACCAUAUCAGGCCAAACACAGAAACAGACAAACAAGACACACAACAUAGAAUGCCCACUCAGAUCACACCCUGACCAACCAAAACAUAGAAACAUACAAAGCAAACUAUGGUCAGGGUGUGACACUCAAGUUUGAGAGAGCUUGACCUGGGAGGAAAGAAACUCCAGGAUUCAGGAGUGAGAUUCAUCUGUGCUGGACUUGAGAAUCCACAGUGUAAAUUGGAGACACUGAGGCUGUCAGGCUGCAGCAUCACAGAGGAAGGCUGUGCUUCUCUUGCUUCAGCUCUGAGGUCAAACCCCUCCCACCUGAAGGAGCUGGACCUGAGUGGAAAUACUCUAGGAGUCUCUGGAGUAAAGCUGCUCUCUUCUGUACGAGAGGAUCCCCUCUAUACACUGGAGACACUGCAGUUAAAUGAUUGACAGCUCACAGAUUCAGUGAAGGAAUAGCCUCAACUCAAAAUCCUUGGUUGUGGUAGUGCCCCGCAGUUAAAUGCUUUUCCAACAGUUACUAAAUUAAUUUCAAAGUGCAUGAAUGUAAAUAUUUAAUGCUUCGAAUCAAUGAUAAUAGCUCCUUGAAUCUCUCAAUCAAUCAGAGAGGUCUGGCGAAGUGGUGCGAGGAAAAUAACCUCAACAAACACGUCACCGGGGGCACACUGCCUGCCCUCCAGGACAUCUACAGCACCCGGUGUCACAGGAAGGCCAAGAAGAUCAUCAAGGAUCUCAGCCACCCGAGCCACGGCCUGUUCACCUCGCUACCAUGUAGAAGUCGGAGACAGUACAGGUGCAUCAAAACCGGGAGAGAGAGACAGGACAGCUUUUAUCUCCAGGCCAUCAGACUGUUAAAUAGGGGGGAGGGGUGGGUGGUUGGAUGGGUGUGGCUGAAGAAACGGGAUGAGAGUUUGAGACCCACUUUUUAGUUUUCUUGUUUGAAUAUUGUACCGGUGUUCUGUUAGCUUAGUAAAAAGCCCUCCUUUUAUGACAUCAUGUCUAUACAUAUUGACUGUAGUUCAGUGUGUUCUGUUAGCUUAGUAAAAAGCCCUCCUUUUAUUAUGACAUCAUGUCUAUACAUAUUGACUGUAGUUCAGUGUGUUCUGUUAGCUUAGUAAAAAGCCCUCCUUUUAUUAUGACAUCAUGUCUAUACAUAUUGACUGUAGUUCAGUGUGUUCUGUUAGCUUAGUAAAAAGCCCUCCUUUUAUAAUGACAUCAUGUCUAUACAUAUUGACUGUAGUUCAGUGUGUUCUGUUAGCUUAGUAAAAAGCCCUCCUUUUAUGACAUCAUGUCUAUACAUAUUGACUGUAGUUCAGUGUGUUCUGUUAGCUUAGUAAAAAGCCCUCCUUUUAUAAUGACAUCAUGUCUAUACAUAUUGACUGUAGUUCAGUGUGUUCUGUUAGCUUAGUAAAAAGCCCUCCUUUUAUAAUGACAUCAUGUCUAUACAUAUUGACUGUAGUUCAGUGUGUUCUGUUAGCUUAGUAAAAAGCCCUCCUUUUAUAAUGACAUCAUGUCUAUACAUAUUGACUGUAGUUCAGUGUGUUCUGUUAGCUUAGUAAAAAGCCCUCCUUUUAUGACAUCAUGUCUAUACAUAUUGACUGUAGUUCAGUGUGUUCUGUUAGCUUAGUAAAAAGCCCUCCUUUUAUUAUGACAUCAUGUCUAUACAUAUUGACUGUAGUUCAGUGUGUUCUGUUAGCUUAGUAAAAAGCCCUCCUUUUAUUAUGACAUCAUGUCUAUACAUAUUGACUGUAGUUCAGUGUGUUCUGUUAGCUUAGUAAAAAGCCCUCCUUUUAUAAUGACAUCAUGUCUAUACAUAUUGACUGUAGUUCAGUGUGUUCUGUUAGCUUAGUAAAAAGCCCUCCUUUUAUGACAUCAUGUCUAUACAUAUUGACUGUAGUUCAGUGUGUUCUGUUAGCUUAGUAAAAAGCCCUCCUUUUAUAAUGACAUCAUGUCUAUACAUAUUGACUGUAGUUCAGUGUGUUCUGUUAGCUUAGUAAAAAGCCCUCCUUUUAUAAUGACAUCAUGUCUAUACAUAUUGACUGUAGUUCAGUGUGUUCUGUUAGCUUAGUAAAAAGCCCUCCUUUUAUAAUGACAUCAUGUCUAUACAUAUUGACUGUAGUUCAGUGUGUUCUGUUAGCUUAGUAAAAAGCCCUCCUUUUAUAAUGACAUCAUGUCUAUACAUAUUGACUGUAGUUCAGUGUGUUCUGUUAGCUUAGUAAAAAGCCCUCCUUUUAUAAUGACAUGUUAUAUACAUAUUGACUGUAGUUCAGUGUUACUGUAGUCAGCGUCUUCAUCUCAACAACCUUAUAGUCUUCCUAGUGACUACAUCUUACCAGACUGUAUUUCAGUGUAUUAUCUGUCUCAGGAUUGUCUUGUUGUACACUGCUUUGUUUUUAUUGUAGCAGCUUGGGCUUUUUGAAAAUGUAGCAUUUCUGACCUUCUAUGUGACCCUGUGUGUUAAUCUAUGGUCAACUGUAUUUCAUAUUCUUUAUACCAAGUAAAGCUGUUAUUCAUAUUGC
Oncorhynchus kisutch (coho salmon) is the source of this 3272-nucleotide long non-coding RNA. RefSeq lists it as uncharacterized. The transcript has 4 exons. The record is from RefSeq and is a predicted model, not a curated record. NCBI's taxonomy places the organism in Eukaryota, Metazoa, Chordata, Actinopteri, Salmoniformes, Salmonidae.